AAUUCCAAGUGCCGGCACUAAGUGUCGGCUGUUCCAUUGUCUAAAAAACAUAGGAAGUAAGGGCUGGGUAAGACGGGUGCCAGCCGCCGCGGUAAUACCUGCAGCCCGAGUGGUGGCCGUUAUUAUUGGGCCUAAAACGUCCGUAGCCUGUUUGGUAGAUGCCUGUGUAAAUCGAACGGCUCAACCGUUCGAACUGCGGGUAGACCGCCAGACUUGGGACCGGGAGAGUCACGAAGUACUCCGGGGGUAGAGGUGAAAUUCUGUAAUCCUCGGGGGACUACCGGUGGCGAAGGCGUCGUGAUAGAACGGCUCCGACGGUGAGGGACGAAGCCCUGGGGCGCAAACCGGAUUAGAUACCCGGGUAGUCCAGGGUGUAAACGCUGCGGUCUUGGUGUCGGCAGUCCUACGGGGGCAGCCGGUGCCGGAGAGAAGUUGUUAAGACCGCUGCCUGGGGAGUACGGCCGCAAGGUUGAAACUUAAAGGAAUUGGCGGGGGAGCACCGCAACGGGAGGAGCGUGCGGUUUAAUUGGAUUCAACGCCGGAAAGCUCACCGGAGUCGACCAUUUGAUGUGGGCCAGUCUGAUGGGCUUGCCUGAAUUAUGGAGAGGUGGUGCAUGGCCGCCGUCAGUUCGUACCGUAAGGCGUUCUGUUAAGUCAGAUAACGAACGAGACCCUUAUCUUCAAUUGCCACGGCGAUCUCCGGAUCGUCAGCACAUUGGAGAGACCGCUGGCGCUAAGUCAGAGGAAGGAUAGGGCAACGGUAGGUCAGUAUGCCCCGAAUGCUCCGGGCUACACGCGCGCUACAAAGGAUGGGACAAUGGGUAUCGACACCGAGAGGUGAAGGCAAUCCCGAAACCCAUUCGUAGUUCGGAUCGAGGGCUGCAACUCGCCCUCGUGAAGCUGGAUUCCGUAGUAU
This 916-nucleotide ribosomal RNA is filed under the name uncultured euryarchaeote. RNAcentral describes it as "bacterial SSU rRNA". It matches the Rfam family "Archaeal small subunit ribosomal RNA", at positions 377 to 1297 of the family's 1478-position model. Lineage: Archaea; Methanobacteriati; Methanobacteriota. The record is from RNAcentral.